This 64-nucleotide transfer RNA is filed under the name human gut metagenome. It matches the Rfam family "tRNA", at positions 5 to 66 of the family's 71-position model. From Rfam's summary of the family: Transfer RNA (tRNA) molecules are approximately 80 nucleotides in length. Their secondary structure includes four short double-helical elements and three loops (D, anti-codon, and T loops). RNAcentral also lists the same sequence under 1 other name. The record is from RNAcentral.
CCAUAGCUCAGUCGGUAGAGUGCUACCUUGGUAAGGUAGAGGUCACGGGUUCAAUUCCCGUUGG